Molecule: ribosomal RNA, 468 nt
Filed under: uncultured bacterium
Lineage: Bacteria
Description: partial 16S ribosomal RNA
Rfam family: Bacterial small subunit ribosomal RNA
Source: RNAcentral
GACGAACGCUGGCGGCGUGCUUAACACAUGCAAGUCGAACGGUAAGGCCCUGCCUUUGUGUGGUGCUCGAGUGGCGAACGGGUGAGUAACACGUGAGUAAUCUGCCCCUGACUCUGGGAUAACUUCUGGAAACUGCGUCUAAUACUGGAUACGAGCUCCUGCUGCAUGUUGGGGGGCUGGAAAUUAUGGCGGUUGGGGAUGGACUCGCGGCCUAUCAGCUUGUUGGUGGGGUAGUGGCUUACCAAGGCGUCGACGGGUAGCCGGCCUGAGGGGGUGACCGGCCACAUUGGGACUGAGAUACGGCCCAGACUCCUACGGGAGGCAGCAGUGGGGAAUAUUGCACAAUGGGCGGAAGCCUGAUGCAGCAACGCCGCGUGAGGGAUGACGGCCUUCGGGUUGUAAACCGCUUUCGCCAGUGAAGAAGCGUGAGUGACGGUAAUGGGUAAAAAAGCACCGGCUAACUACGUG